GGGAAACACUGCAGCAGAUGGCCUGCCUUUCUGAGCCACAGCGACACAUCUGCAACGCUGCUGGAAUGCCUCACUGCACAUUCACAACGAAUAAGGUUAUCAUGUUGACUAAAACAGUCAGGGAUGGCCCUCCUUCCUCAAGCAACAGCCCUCAUUUCUGAAGCCGCCAGUCAUGACUACACCUGCCUUCUCAAGAAAAGCAAAAAGGGUGAAUUCUACUAGCAGGCAAGUGUCCGAUUAUUGUGAAGGACAAUGAAAGACAUAAGAUGACUCUGA
RNAcentral lists this long non-coding RNA (276 nucleotides) under Chinchilla lanigera (long-tailed chinchilla). RNAcentral's name for it is "lncRNA (ENSCLAG00000026965.1)". Lineage: Eukaryota; Metazoa; Chordata; Mammalia; Rodentia; Chinchillidae. The record is from RNAcentral.